GUGGGGAAUAUUGGACAAUGGGCGAAAGCCUGAUCCAGCCAUGCCGCGUGUGUGAAGAAGGUCUUCGGAUUGUAAAGCACUUUAAGUUGGGAGGAAGGGCAGUAAGUUAAUACCUUGCUGUUUUGACGUUACCGACAGAAUAAGCACCGGCUAACUUCGUGCCAGCAGCCGCGGUAAUACGAAGGGUGCAAGCGUUAAUCGGAAUUACUGGGCGUAAAGCGCGCGUAGGUGGUUCAGUAAGUUGGAAGUGAAAUCCCCGGGCUCAACCUGGGAACUGCUUUCAAAACUGCUGAGCUAGAGUACGGUAGAGGGUGGUGGAAUUUCCUGUGUAGCGGUGAAAUGCGUAGAUAUAGGAAGGAACACCAGUGGCGAAGGCGACCACCUGGACUGAUACUGACACUGAGGUGCGAAAGCGUGGGGAGCAAACAGGAUUAGAACCCUAGUAGUCC
This 449-nucleotide ribosomal RNA is filed under the name uncultured bacterium. Its description in RNAcentral is "partial 16S ribosomal RNA". It matches the Rfam family "Bacterial small subunit ribosomal RNA", at positions 354 to 796 of the family's 1533-position model. The record is from RNAcentral.